CAAUCAAUACAACUUUCAACAACGGAUCUCUUGGCUCUCGCAUCGAUGAAGAACGCAGCGAAAUGCGAUACGUAAUGUGAAUUGCAGAAUUCAGUGAAUCAUCGAAUCUUUGAACGCACCUUGCGCCCCUUGGUAUUCCGAGGGGCACACCCGUUUGA
Molecule: ribosomal RNA, 158 nt
Filed under: Lactarius acatlanensis
Lineage: Eukaryota; Fungi; Basidiomycota; Agaricomycetes; Russulales; Russulaceae
Description: 5.8S ribosomal RNA
Rfam family: 5.8S ribosomal RNA
About the family: 5.8S ribosomal RNA (5.8S rRNA) is a component of the large subunit of the eukaryotic ribosome.
Source: RNAcentral